CCUACGGGAAGCAGCAGUGAGGAAUAUUGGUCAAUGGACGAGAGUCUGAACCAGCCAAGUAGCGUGAAGGAUGACUGCCCUAUGGGUUGUAAACUUCUUUUAUAUGGGAAUAAAAUGUUCCACGUGUGGGCUUUUGUAUGUACCAUAUGAAUAAGGAUCGGCUAACUCCGUGCCAGCAGCCGCGGUAAUACGGAGGAUCCGAGCGUUAUCCGGAUUUAUUGGGUUUAAAGGGAGCGUAGGUGGAUUGUUAAGUCAGUUGUGAAAGUUUGCGGCUCAACCGUAAAAUUGCAGUUGAAACUGGCAGUCUUGAGUACAGUAGAGGUGGGCGGAAUUCGUGGUGUAGCGGUGAAAUGCUUAGAUAUCACGAAGAACUCCGAUUGCGAAGGCAGCUCACUGGACUGCAACUGACAUUGAGGCUCGAAAGUGUGGGUAUCAAACAGGAUUAGAUACCCGUGUAGUC
Molecule: ribosomal RNA, 460 nt
Filed under: uncultured bacterium
Lineage: Bacteria
Description: partial 16S ribosomal RNA
Rfam family: Bacterial small subunit ribosomal RNA
Source: RNAcentral